Molecule: long non-coding RNA, 2259 nt
Organism: Oncorhynchus keta (chum salmon)
Lineage: Eukaryota; Metazoa; Chordata; Actinopteri; Salmoniformes; Salmonidae
Exons: 2
Source: RefSeq, a predicted model, not a curated record
UAUCAGUGUUCUGCCUCAUGUUCGUGGCGUGUUCUUGGUUUUGUUAAAAGGGUUCACCCGUACUUGCUUCUGACUCACCGCCCCGUCAUUACAGAAUACCAACUCAAGCAGCAGGACAAAUGGACAUCUCCCAGACAAUCAAUGAACAAGGUGCUCUUCUUCAUCAACACCAUAAUCAGUUGGCUCAACUGGGGACGGCCAUGGAAGAGGUUCUCUGCAGUCUACAACAUCUCGACAGCGGAGCAUAUUCUAGAGCCAGUCUAACCAACGAGUCCGCACACCAGCCCAUUCAGCAAACCGCUCAGGUCAGCGAUGCCAGUCUAUCCCUCCAGGAGAAAUAUGAAUGGACACUAUCUAAAUGCUGUGGCUUCCUCCUUCAGUGCUCCCUCUAUUUCGCACAUCUAAUGGGAGCUCUCACCACAGAGGUCUAAGGUUGCCACAGAUAUUUCUCUGCUGACUGGGCAGGCAUUGGAAUAGGCUACGGCCGUUUUGGGAGAGAGGAGCUUGAGUCUUGUGAGGGGUUCAUUUAAAUGUAUUUUUUAUCCUUCUGCGGAGGGCUGCUUCAGCUUCAUGUGCUUACCUUCCGGACAAUAGCAGCUUCCAGUGGAUGGAAUGAGCCGGUCCAGAUGGAACUGGCCUGCCGAGAUGACAACCUCACCCUGGACACACCCAUUGCGAUGGCCAUUUGUCUGGAUAACCUUCGGGACCGUCGGCAUCUACAUCCCUUCUCUCCCACCUUUGGCGAGUGUUCGCGAUCGGAGCCUGAAUCCAUGGAGGUAGGGGUCACAUCUUCCCGUGGCGGAAUGACAGAUACAGCUGGGACUCUGUCUAUACUGUGGCCAGGGAGGGCACAAGCGCCAGUGUUGUCCGUUACCUCAGAAUCCAGGAUCCAGUGGAGCAGCAGGACAGUCAUGUGAUGUUACAUCCCCUGGACCAGGAGUUCAAGGUCUUGACUGUUGGCCUCUAGGAUCUGGAACCAUCACACACAUCACCCAACCACUCACCCUCACCAUGGAGCCCAAUCACCAGGAAAACAUCCCCUUCAUCACCAGUUCACAAGAUCAUCAUUGGCCUACCUUGGCUUCAGCCCCAUAACUCUACCAUCUCAUGGUCGAGGAUGAGAAUCACAGACUGGUCACCUGAAUGCCUGAGAACCUGCUUUCCUGUCCCCUUUGGUUCCACGUCGGUUGAGAGUCCGGUGGUUUCACUCCAGCCCAACAUCCCAGAGGAAUAUCAGGAUCUAAGGGAGGUGUUCUCCAAGACCUGCGCUAACUGUGUCCCUCCUCAUCGGCCCUGGGACUGUGCCAUUGACCUGUUUUCCAGUGCUACACCUCCGUGCAGCCUCAUAUACCCUCUGUAAGUGGCUGAGACCCAGGCCAUGGAGGACUACAUACACAAUGUGCUCCAAAAGGGUUUUAUCCGCAGGUCCACGUCGGCUGGUUUCUUCUUCGUGGCCAAGGAGGGAUGAUUACGCCCUAGUCAUUGAGUCCACGGUAAUCGAUACAUCGCCAAAAAGUAUCAGUACCCUCUCCCGAUGGUGCCGUCAGCCAUCGAGCAGCUCCGCAAGGCCUGGUUCUUCACCAAACUGGACCUGCAGAGUGUCUACAAUCCCAUUCGCAUCCGGGAUGGGGAUGAGUGGAAGACAGCAUUCAGCACGAUGUCUGGUCAUUACGAGUACUUAGUUAUGCCCUUUGGCUUAGCCAAUUCUCUGUCAGUGUUCCAGGCAUUCAUCAACAAGGUGUUCAGGGACAUGCUCGGACAUCAUGUGAUUGUGUACAUCCUGCUAUUCUCGACCACUCUGGAGGAUCACAUCACUCAACGUUUGAGCAGUCCUGGAACGCCUCUUGGCUAACCAUCUGUUCAUGGUUAGAAGUGCCAAUUCCACCAGAGGGCGGUCUCCUUCUUGGGCUACCAAAUCAGCCUGCAGGGAGUGAAGUUAGACAAGGAAGUAGAUGCAGUAAGGGCAUGACCAGUCCCAACCACCAUCUUCAAGUGGUUACAACGGUUUUUGGGGUUUGCCAACUUUAUGAUGUCGGCAAUGACUGUCACAUCUGCUCCUCCCCUCCGGCAUACGUCGUCGCCAGAGUACUAACCACCGGUCCUGGGAUUCAACAUUACGGGCACCUGGCACUCAUCAUUAACCAGGACUCCAUUACUUUCAUAAUUUCCUCCCAUAUGUCAGUCUCCCAGGUUCACUCACCAGUGUAUCGGCGUUCUGUCUUAUGUUUUUUUUUUAAUUAUUAAAACGUUUCACCUGCA